CAGCAGCCACGGGAAUACGUAGGGUGCAAGCGUUAAUCGGAAUUACUGGGCGUAAAGCGUGCGCAGGCGGUUUGUUAAGACAGAUGUGAAAUCCCCGGGCUCAACCUGGGAACUGCAUUUGUGACUGGCAAGCUAGAGUGUGGCAGAGGGGGGUGGAAUUCCGCGUGUAGCAGUGAGAUGCGUAGAUAUGCGGAGGAACACCGAUGGCGAAGGCAGCCCCCUGGGCCAACACUGACGCUCAUGCACGAAAGCGUGGGGAGCAAACAGGAUUAGAGACCCGAGUAGUCCCUGUCUCUUAUAC
Molecule: ribosomal RNA, 301 nt
Filed under: uncultured bacterium
Lineage: Bacteria
Description: partial 16S ribosomal RNA
Rfam family: Bacterial small subunit ribosomal RNA
Source: RNAcentral